Molecule: non-coding RNA, 609 nt
Organism: Phascolarctos cinereus (koala)
Lineage: Eukaryota; Metazoa; Chordata; Mammalia; Diprotodontia; Phascolarctidae
Source: RefSeq, a predicted model, not a curated record
UCUCCAAGGAUCUAUGACAAUUCAAAGAGGAAAAAAGAGAUGCAUUGCUAUAGUUGAAGUGGGAUAACCUGAGAAUCCUACCUCCUAGUAGUUCCGGGUCUAAAGAGAACCCUCCUUUCUCUCCUAAGGUCUCUACAACCCUCCCAGGUCCAGGCUCCUGGCUUCAGGACCCCUCAGAGGUUUAUAUAAACUACCUCAGAACCUUGUGGGAAGCAGGUGACGUGUGAAUAAAUAUUGGGAAGCAGGCUGCUGUUUGUCCUUCGUUCUCCAAGAGGACCACGACAUCAGGGAAGCAGGUGGAGUGUAAAGAAACAUAUGGAGAGAAUCAAGACAUUGUUUGAUUCAGCUGUUCACAUUUAUUUACUGGUAAUUUCAAAACACUGACAAAACACAUCACACUUUGCUUGUAACUUCCCCCCCACUUAAAUCUCUGUAUACUUGGGACAUAAAGCUCCAGAUUAGCUGCAUCCACUUGAACUAGAGUAUUUUCCUCAUGAAAACACAAAAAAUGGUGCAAAUAUCAAAAACGUGCCCAAAAAAUGUGCAAAAGAACAAAAGUGCAAAAGUUUCCUUCGUUGUUGUCACCAUAGUUAUCCCCCCACCCCCAAA